CCAAGUAAAAUGAGGGACAUGCCCACCCAGGGGAUGGGGCAGAAGAAGCAAUAAUGGAAGAUUGGUUCAAUAUCAAGGGAUGUAUAAUUAAAAUAAGUAAGUAAAAACACAUUCAUUAUAAUAACACACUAAGAUCAUGAGAAUCAUAUUUAGCACUUUCAGAGGAAAAGAUAGAAUGCGUUCUUGUGCUGAACUGGAAUUAGAUGCAUCAGUAUGUACAUGGCUAUCAAUACAGAUAGACAAAGAAAUAAUACAAAAGAUCUUAGAAUAAGACAAAUACAAAUUAAAUGUAGCUACAGUGACUAUAUAGUAAAAAAGCAUGGUAGAUAUCACAUCAGUCAGCUUUUUAUUGCUGAGAAACAACCUGAGACAGUGUACAAGGAAGAAGUUUAGUCUGGUGAUGGAAUAGGUCAUUGGUUAAUUAUAAUAAACCAACUGCUUGGCCUCAUAGCUUAGAACAUAGGGGGGAGGAGUAGACAGAAUAGAAUUCUGGGCGGAAGAGGAAGUGAGGUCAGACUCUGCUCUGCUCCCGGAGAGACUCGACAGCUCUGCUCUCUGGAGCAGAGACGCCAUGCUCAGCUCUCCUGGGUAGACCCGACAGCUCUGCUCUCUGGAGCAGCGACGCCAGGCUUCGCCCUCCCAGGCAACUCCAACCCAGGAUGGACAUAGGCUAGAAUCUUCCCGGUUGCCUGUACAGACUGUGGUGUACUAUCUGGGCCAGGCCAGACAAUCUGCAGGUUCGACAUCGCCCGGGCAGUUGGACAGACACUGGCAGAACCUUCAUCUGGCGAUGGAUGGAGAUAGAGACAGAGACCCAUACUGGAGCACUGGACUGAGCUCCCAAUGUCCUAUUGAGGAGCAGAAAGAGGGAGAACAUGAGCAAAGAAGUCAGGACCACAAGGGAUGCACCCACCCACGGAGACAGUGGGGCUGAUCUAUUGGGAGCUCACCAAGGCCAGCUGGACUGUGACUGAAAAAGCAUGGGAUAAAACCGGACUCUUUGAAUAUGGCGGACAAUGA
Alexandromys fortis (reed vole) is the source of this 1020-nucleotide long non-coding RNA. RefSeq lists it as uncharacterized. The transcript is spliced from 3 exons. Lineage: Eukaryota; Metazoa; Chordata; Mammalia; Rodentia; Cricetidae. The record is from RefSeq and is a predicted model, not a curated record.